GCUAAGCUACAUGAGAUGGCAUUUACUAGAUUGGACAGACAUGGUGAUCGUCUUGUAUAAUUUGUUGGAUUAGCAGUAGUUCUUCUUUCUCAGUCUGAUCCCUUUUUAUUUCGACGGACGACCUAAUUCAAGCUGAUCAACUUUGGUUAGCAAGAUUCUACGUUUCUUGGCUCUAGCAACCUAUUAGGUCGACUGUUGCUGAGGAAGACCUACC
Molecule: long non-coding RNA, 214 nt
Filed under: Elaeis guineensis (African oil palm)
Lineage: Eukaryota; Viridiplantae; Streptophyta; Magnoliopsida; Arecales; Arecaceae
Description: long non-coding RNA (EGUI_LNC019668)
Source: RNAcentral